Molecule: long non-coding RNA, 140 nt
Organism: Helianthus annuus (common sunflower)
Lineage: Eukaryota; Viridiplantae; Streptophyta; Magnoliopsida; Asterales; Asteraceae
Exons: 3
Source: RefSeq, a predicted model, not a curated record
AGAAUCGGGUUCAAAUCUUGCGGGGACCUUCUGUGCCGUUUGAUUCCGGGACUCCUCUUGCUUGCUUGGUAGUUGCUCAAGACUUCUAAGCACUCUCAAGUGCUGCUUUGUGAUGAUUGUUGAUACAUGCUACACUUAGG